Molecule: small RNA, 84 nt
Filed under: Marmota monax (woodchuck)
Lineage: Eukaryota; Metazoa; Chordata; Mammalia; Rodentia; Sciuridae
Source: RNAcentral
GCCAGGUGUAGUGGCCCAUGUCUGUAAUCCCAGCAACUCAGGAGGCUGAGGCAGGAGGAUCACAAGUUUGAGGCCCUGUCUUUU